RNAcentral lists this transfer RNA (80 nucleotides) under Ipomoea nil (Japanese morning glory). It matches the Rfam family "tRNA". Rfam says of the family: Transfer RNA (tRNA) molecules are approximately 80 nucleotides in length. Their secondary structure includes four short double-helical elements and three loops (D, anti-codon, and T loops). Lineage: Eukaryota; Viridiplantae; Streptophyta; Magnoliopsida; Solanales; Convolvulaceae. The record is from Rfam by way of RNAcentral.
GACAAUUUGGCCGAGUGGUCUAAGGCGCCAGAUUUAGGCUCUGGUCUGAAAGGGCGUGGGUUCAAAUCCCACAGCCGUCA